AUGGCUGGAUGAACGGUAUGUAGGUCCACAUCCAGGAUCCCAACCAGCGAACCCCGGGCCACCAAAGUGGAGCGUGCGCACUUAAACCACUAUGCUACCGGCUAGCCCUUCCUUGCCAACCAGCCCACGUUCCUCUUUUGCUGUGACAGUUCUUUCCUGUUGUGUCCCUGAGCUUGUGUGUCUCCCAAAGGUUUGCACUAGCUGGAAGAUGGGCAAUAAAUGCUUGCAGACAGGGCUGGCUCAGAAGAAAAAAGCAACUUGCCUGGAGCCAUGGAACCAAUGGAAGCUGAGACUGGAAACCAGGUAUUCUGACUCAGGCUCUCCCCUGCCUCUCCUCCUCCUUCCUCCCCUCCCUUUUCUUGGUCCUCCUCAUACAGUUGGUCCGUAACAAAUUCUUACCGUGGGGUUAUGCAGGGUCUCGCCUGAUUCUCCAUUCACGUGUUCUUCCCCUCAGCUCUCCUCUACCCUGGCCUCAAAAGUGUUCACAGCAGCCACUUUUAUAAGAUGGAGUGACCCUGUCCCUGGGAGAAACAGCAAAAUCUACCUGUAGUUCAGGGCACACUUGGGACACGCAGCAGCUUAAUAACUUGGGGUUCCUUCAACCUGCAUUUUAAAAGUAUUUGUUCAAUAUUUAUUUAGUGAGAUUAAAGAUAAACCACAACUGUAUUAUUGACAUUAUUUUAAACUUGCUUUUUGUUCUUUAUGAUAUAAAAGUCAACAGGAAAGAAAAUUAUGUCCUAUUUGAAAUGACACUUUAUUCUAUAGUUUUCUAAAGAUCAUAAUUAAACUUUUAACUGAUUUAGCAUUCCAAGGAAAAUGAAAUACAACAAACAAAUGUUCUGAAAUCAAAUGGGGAAGAAAGUUUACAUUAUAAAGUCCUUUCAAAACAGUAAGAAAUCUAAGACA
Molecule: non-coding RNA, 906 nt
Organism: Equus caballus (horse)
Lineage: Eukaryota; Metazoa; Chordata; Mammalia; Perissodactyla; Equidae
Source: RefSeq, a predicted model, not a curated record